CAUACAUCCCUAUAUAAGUGUGUAUAAGUGUGUGUAUGUAUAUGUGUAUAUAUGACCAGAAUUUACAUAGAUAACACAUUCGCAUAUAGGUGUACGUCUCUGCAGACACACACGCAGACACAAUCACGCACACGCACGCGUGUGUGUGCAUGUGGACAGACAGACAACCCUGUAUAAUAGAUAGCACGCACACAUUUGAGUAAGCAUCUAUACCCAGAACGGGUCUCUCUGUUUUCCCUUUCAGAGCGGUACCUUCCUGGCCCAGGAGGGGAAAGGCAAGACACUGCCUAGGAUUCCUCCUGCUUGCCCCCGUGCCAAGCCCGGUUGGAGCGGCGCUCCCCUCGGCGGCGCGGUGCUCCUUCCCGCAUGCUCAGGCUUGCGGCUCCCGGCGCGCUCUCAGGGUGGGAGCCGGGGAAGGCUUCUUCGACUCCGGCCGCGGCUCCCCCGAGCUUCAUAUCCUAAAGCAGGCAACCAGCCCACGGGAAACUUCUCCUCCAGCCGUCGGGCCAUCAGGAGACCGGGACUUCGGUUAUUUAUAGGGACUGCUGAUCACAUUCACUCAAUAACCCUUGAAAAGCAGCAGGGAUUCAGCGAAAUAGCUCGGACGGUGCUGUGCUGGCGGAGGGGCUGGACGGCCGAGCAAGAAGGAAAGCCCCGAGGUAGCCCCAGGCAACCUGCAGCUCUCCGAGUAGCCGGCGCCGGGGAGGAAAGCUGGCCCGGACCUGGAGGGAUGGCGCUGGGCACGUGCAGACGCGGGGUGGGCGCUGCCCUGCCUGCCUGGUCGCAGAAGAAGAAGGUUCGUGCUGCCAAAGGGCCGGGGUAGUGAAGCAUAAGGCGGCAGCAGCAGCCUGACCAGGAUAAUACUCACUUUGCUGCACCUCUGACAACUUCAAGGACUUUGACAGGCUUGCAGGACAGAGACCCCGAUCCAGCCGUGCCUCCGCCCCCAGGUAGCUAGAGAACGCCUCGGAGCUGAACACCAGUGCAAGUGCGCACUGCAGCCCCGAUUCCUCCUUCGGAUGCCUGAGCCUGCAGAUUUGCCAAGGGCUGACCCCUAAGCUCCGUGCCCGCCAGUGGCUGGGGCCACAGGUCAGACUUCCCUGCGUCUCAUUGACUCAGACCUCGUGCUGAGCUCUCACACCAGGCUCGGCACUCGCCAGCCCAUUGACUCUGAACGCGCACACAUCCUUCUCUCUGGCCUUGUAAAGCUAUCCCUGCUUUAUAGGAACUUGCUCCUAAGCAGAAUUAUAUAACCCCGUGCAGGCACACACCUUUUGGCAAUACAGAGAAUAAACCGCGUUUGAAACCUCUGGCUUUUAGACUGAUCACCCAUUAGAUUUGGGGGUUUCUUACCCUGCCCUGUUCUAGCUUUGGCUUUCGAUAAUCUCCCGCAGUGUUUCAGGAAAAACACUGCACCUGCUAACUAUUCUUCUUUGGAUCAUUAGCUGCAAGGAAUCCCCAGAGGGGAAACAUUCUGAAAUGCCAACACCCUGUAUAAGUAUCCGUUCAGAGGCAGGAGUCAGGUACCUUCCUGUGCAAUGUCAGGCAGACUGGAGGUGGCUUGGAGUGACUGAGGAGUAUGCACCUAUAUUAAAGAAAUAGACAUAUGUCUGUCAAGUGCCCACUCCUCUUUCUCACCUGAAUAGUCCCAUUGACUACUAUAAAAUAAGGGCUUCAAAAUGACAUGGAUGGUAUGACAGGGCAAGACAUAUCAAUCAGGUAAUAUUAAUAUUUCUCCUCCUAAAUGCCCUGUUUUAACAAAAUCUAGAGUAAACACUGUGCCUGUUGCUUAACACAGAAACAGGAACUGGAAUAGUGAUAACGACAUGUUUCCCACUCAAACUCUGACUAUUCUGCUCUUGUUCCUCUGGUCUGUGUUCAUGGUUCAUUUAUUGUUUCCCCUCAUUCUGCACACUCCUAACUUUUUUUUUUCUGUUAAUGCCCUCACAUGUUUAUUAGAUGUUCCCUUAAAUAACAAUCUAAAACAAUUUAAAACAACUGGUUCCAGAUAAAUCAUUCAUUUGUAUGUGUUCGCUGAGGUUUCCUUUGUUUUUAAACCACUUCUGUUCUGGCAACUGUUAUAGCAAUAUUUUUAUUGUAUACUAUUUACCAUUUUGUAAGCAUAUCGAGACAAAACAGGACAUCCCUAAUGCAUGUGGGUAGUCUUGUUAAAGGAAAUGAAUGGAAAUAGUCUUGAGGUAGGCCAGCAGAAUUUAGUUAAUUAAAUAAAUAAUUCACCACUGGGUGCAUGCUUUGGUUUAGCCAGAUGGAAGCCAAUUUACUUUGAUGUACUAAGCUCUGUAUUUUUUUACUACCAAAAUUUAAAAAGUCAAUAGUUUUAUUGAGCUGGAAGAAAGACCUGCUCAUUCAGAAGUUUACUGAACUGUUACAAUUGGCUGCAUUUAUUUUUCUUGAUUUUUAAUAUUUAUUGUUGAAAAUAAGUAUCCAAUACCCACAUUCAUUUAGAACUAGAUUGUCAGUUUGUACACUUUAUAGUGGAAGUGACUCUAUGCUCUCAGUAAGACUCACACAUAAUUUUCCAUAUAUAAUUCUACACUCACUCAUACACAUAAACACAUUUUUCAGUGGUUUAUUACUUUCUCAAGAAAAUCUUUUAUAGAUUAAUUUUUUUCUACACUUGGUCUCUACCCAGAGGUGAUAUUAAAAAAAAAGUAGCCCUAUCCAUUUUGCUAUUUUUGCGGUCGUCAUGUAUAAAAGAUUGUUCUUAUUCCAUGUAUUCCAAGAAAAUUAUUAGUGCAUAUGUAACUCAAUACUUGGUAAUUUUGUGAAGAAAUUUCCUUGUUUUGUAGAUCUCACUGAGUUCUUGAAAUAAGCUGAGUUUGAAGGAAAUUGGCUUAGUAUUUUUGGCGUUGUGAGCUCUGGAAUUAGAUUACUUUUCAUACAUCCACAGGUCAAGCUGUUUAGAACCCUAGAACACUGCAUAUAAACCAGUGCAGUAAACCUUGUUUAGUUUUUGUGCUCUGCCCAGCAUGGCUUGGACACUAAGGUGAUAUGAAACGUUGUGACUGUAACCUUGAUUGCAGUGUAAUCAAUGCAAGUGUUACCAUCAAUUUCAGUGGAUUCAGAAUUUCAUCCCAUAGCUUCCUCAUCUCCUAUCAUAAGGACAGCUAAAGCCUGGGAAAUUAUAAAUAAACCAGAGAUUUGGGAUGGGGUAGAGGAGAAGGUAAGUGGGGCAGUCUGCCUAAAGUCCACAUGGUAUAGUCAAAUGAAGCUCAGAGAUUUUUAAGCCUAUUGCUCGAAUCACUGACUAGCCAUUAUAAUUCCUGGUACACGGGCUUAUAUUUUUAAAGGUUUUAAACCUAUGGAAGUUAAGUGCCCAGGCUCUUUUGAAAAUCAUAUGGCAUGUAGCAUGUCAUAACUAUUAAAUAAUCAGGCCCCACAUAACCACAUGAAGUAAGUAAAUAUAACCAACUCUGUUUUAUUGAUAAGGAAAACUGGAUGUGUCUACUCAUGCAUUUG
Long non-coding RNA from Gavialis gangeticus (Gharial), 3480 nucleotides. RefSeq lists it as uncharacterized. The record is from RefSeq and is a predicted model, not a curated record. NCBI's taxonomy places the organism in Eukaryota, Metazoa, Chordata, Crocodylia, Gavialidae. The transcript has 3 exons.